UGAGAAAUCUGCCCUUGACUCUGGGAUAACUGCGGGAAACUGUAGCUAAUACCGGAUAUUUUCCUUGGUGGGCAUCCACUGGGGAAGAAAGAAUUUCGGUCAAGGAUGAUCUCGCGGCCUAUCAGCUAGUUGGUGAGGUAAUGGCUCACCAAGGCGACGACGGGUAGCCGGCCUGAGAGGGUGACCGGCCACACUGGGACUGAGACACGGCCCAGACUCCUACGGGAGGCAGCAGUGGGGAAUAUUGCACAAUGGGCGCAAGCCUGAUGCAGCAACGCCGCGUGAGGGAUGAAGGCCUUCGGGUUGUAAACCUCUUUUAGCAGGGAAGAAGCGAAAGUGACGGUACCUGCAGAAAAAGCACCGGCUAACUACGUGCCAGCAGCCGCGGUAAUACGUAGGGUGCAAGCGUUGUCCGGAAUUAUUGGGCGUAAAGAGCUCGUAGGCGGUUUGUCACGUCUGCUGUGAAAUUCCGAGGCUCAACCUCGGACUUGCAGUGGGUACGGGCAGGCUAGAGUGCGGUAGGGGAGAUGGGAAUUCCUGGUGUAGCGGUGGAAUGCGCAGAUAUCAGGAGGAACACCAAUGGCGAAGGCACAUCUCUGGGCCGUAACUGACGCUGAGGAGCGAAAGCGUGGGGAGCGAACAGGAUUAGAUACCCUGGUAGUCCACGCCGUAAACGGUGGGUGCUAGCUGUGGGCCACAUUCCACGUGGUCCGUGACGAAGUUAACACAUUAAGCACCCCGCCUGGGGAGUACGGCCGCAAGGCUAAAACUCAAAGGAAUUGACGGGGGCCCGCACAAGCGGCGGAGCAUGCGGAUUAAUUCGAUGCAACGCGAAGAACCUUACCAAGGCUUGACAUAUAGAGGAAAAGUGCAGAAAUGU
This 880-nucleotide ribosomal RNA is filed under the name uncultured bacterium. RNAcentral describes it as "bacterial SSU rRNA". It matches the Rfam family "Bacterial small subunit ribosomal RNA", at positions 118 to 1009 of the family's 1533-position model. The record is from RNAcentral.